RNAcentral lists this ribosomal RNA (619 nucleotides) under uncultured bacterium. Its description in RNAcentral is "bacterial SSU rRNA". It matches the Rfam family "Bacterial small subunit ribosomal RNA", at positions 338 to 951 of the family's 1533-position model. The record is from RNAcentral.
CCUACGGGAGGCAGCAGUGGGGAAUUUUGGACAAUGGGCGCAAGCCUGAUCCAGCAAUGCCGCGUGCAGGAUGAAGGCCUUCGGGUUGUAAACUGCUUUUGUACGGAACGAAACGGUGAGCUCUAAUACAGUUUGCUAAUGACGGUACCGUAAGAAUAAGCACCGGCUAACUACGUGCCAGCAGCCGCGGUAAUACGUAGGGUGCGAGCGUUAAUCGGAAUUACUGGGCGUAAAGCGUGCGCAGGCGGUGAUGUAAGACAGAUGUGAAAUCCCCGGGCUCAACCUGGGACCUGCAUUUGUGACUGCAUCGCUAGAGUACGGUAGAGGGGGAUGGAAUUCCGCGUGUAGCAGUGAAAUGCGUAGAUAUGCGGAGGAACACCGAUGGCGAAGGCAAUCCCCUGGACCUGUACUGACGCUCAUGCACGAAAGCGUGGGGAGCAAACAGGAUUAGAUACCCUGGUAGUCCACGCCCUAAACGAUGUCAACUGGUUNUUGGGUCUUCACUGACUCAGUAACGAAGCUAACGCGUGAAGUUGACCGCCUGGGGAGUACGGCCGCAAGGUUGAAACUCAAAGGAUUGACGGCUUGAGACGNGCGAGGACGACGACGAGGGAGGAGG